GGUUCCGUAGCUCAGUCGGUAGAGCAGGGGACUGAAAAUCCCCGUGUCGGUGGUUCGAUUCCGCCCGGAACCACCA
RNAcentral lists this transfer RNA (76 nucleotides) under Clostridiales bacterium CHKCI006. RNAcentral's name for it is "tRNA-Phe". It matches the Rfam family "tRNA". Rfam says of the family: Transfer RNA (tRNA) molecules are approximately 80 nucleotides in length. Their secondary structure includes four short double-helical elements and three loops (D, anti-codon, and T loops). Lineage: Bacteria; Bacillati; Bacillota; Clostridia; Eubacteriales. The record is from RNAcentral. RNAcentral also lists the same sequence under 1 other name.